RNAcentral lists this ribosomal RNA (450 nucleotides) under Triticum aestivum (bread wheat). RNAcentral describes it as "partial small subunit ribosomal RNA". Lineage: Eukaryota; Viridiplantae; Streptophyta; Magnoliopsida; Poales; Poaceae. The record is from RNAcentral.
AUGGAUCCGACUUGUGAUCCAUUCAGUAGCUGUACAACCGAGACAAUACAAGAAGCAACAGAGCUCACUAACUUGAAUGCUUUUGACAUCAUUUCUCUUUCUUCUGGGUUUGAUCUCUCUGGCAUGUUUGAGGAUAAGUCCAAGAAAGAGUCAAAAUUCACAUCUACCAACACAGCUGCAACAAUCAUCACAAAGCUUGAAGAUAUUGCAAAGCGCUUGCGGCUAAGACUCAUGAAGAGAGAUGGUGGGUUGUUGAAGAUGCAGAGCUUGCAACCGGGAAGGAAAGGCAUAAUGUCCAUAGAUACCGAGAUAUUUCAGAUUGCACCGAAUUUUCAUCUGGUGGAAAUCAGGAAGACCAGUGGUGAUACUCUCGAGUAUCAGCAGGUUAAACAUGAUAUGAGACCGGCUUUGAAAGACAUUAUUUGGGCUUGGCAAGGUGAGCAGCCCUAG